CCUUCGAUAGCUCAGUUGGCAGAGCGGAGGACUGUAGAGAGUUAACUCAGUCAUCCUUAGGUCGCUGGUUCAACUCCGGCUCGAAGGA
This is a non-coding RNA of Crenichthys baileyi (White River springfish), 88 nucleotides long. The record is from the annotation of a GenBank genome assembly. NCBI's taxonomy places the organism in Eukaryota, Metazoa, Chordata, Actinopteri, Cyprinodontiformes, Goodeidae.